Molecule: non-coding RNA, 28 nt
Filed under: Rattus norvegicus (Norway rat)
Lineage: Eukaryota; Metazoa; Chordata; Mammalia; Rodentia; Muridae
Source: RNAcentral
AAUGUAGUAAGAUGCUUCUCUGUGCCUU